This 406-nucleotide ribosomal RNA is filed under the name uncultured bacterium. Its description in RNAcentral is "partial 16S ribosomal RNA". It matches the Rfam family "Bacterial small subunit ribosomal RNA", at positions 30 to 526 of the family's 1533-position model. The record is from RNAcentral.
AUUGAACGCUGGCGGCAGGCCUAACACAUGCAAGUCGAGCGAGCGGCGGACGGGUGAGUAAUGUCUGGGUAUCUGCCCGAUAGAGGGGGAUAACUACUGGAAACGGUCGCUAAUACCGCAUACUAUCGGAUGCGCCCAUAUGGGAUUAGCUAGUAGGUGGGGUAAAGGCUCACCUAGGCGACGCUCUCUAGCUGGUCUGAGAGGAUGACCAGCCACACUGGGACUGAGACACGGUCCAGACUCCUACGGGAGGCAGCAGUGGGGAAUAUUGCACAAUGGGCGCAAGCCUGAUGCAGCCAUGCCGCGGGUAUGAAGAAGGCCUUAGGGUUGUAAAGUACUUUCAGCGGGGAGGCGUUACCGACAGAAGAAGCACCGGCUAACUCCGUGCCAGCCGCCGCGGUAAUUC